RNAcentral lists this long non-coding RNA (536 nucleotides) under Nicotiana tabacum (common tobacco). RNAcentral describes it as "long non-coding RNA (NTAB_LNC004419)". Lineage: Eukaryota; Viridiplantae; Streptophyta; Magnoliopsida; Solanales; Solanaceae. The record is from RNAcentral.
GGAUACCCUCAGAGGCUGCUGAUGUUAUGAAACAUGUGCCUAUGCACGACAUGACAUUCAUACACAUAUGCAUGAUACAAUAAUUAUUUCAUGAUUUACAAAGUUAUUCAGACUUACAGGUGGAGUCAUUUACUCUAUAUUUCCUUCAUGUCUGUUAUGUACUUAUUUAUGUACCUACAUACUCAAUACAUAAUUCCCUUUUUGCCUGGGGACGCUGUGUUUCAUGCCCGCAGGUCCCGAUGGACAAGUUAAAAGCCCUCCAAGUACGCUAUCGGCUCAGCGAAAGAUGUUGGUGCGCUCCAUUUGCUUCGGAGUUGCUUGUUUGGUAUGGCGGGACUUUAUCCUGACCUUUAUGAAAAUUAUGUAUUCUUAGAGGCUUGUAGACAGAUGUCAUGUACAUAAAAGAUUGUAUGCCCUUGUCGGCCUAUGUUCAGUGUUCAAGUGGUUAUUUUGGUCUUAGAGGCUCAUAUAUCUUAUGUAUAAGUUGGCAUUACCUAUUGUAUUCUACCUAUUUCACGGCAACCUUUCCAGCUCAG